AAUUCAUCAUACUGCACCUUCUGUGCAGUACUAACAAACGCUAGUUUGAGUGUCACCACCAUUGUCUCCUCUGCCAGUGUCACCUUCAGCUACCAUUUCUGUCCAUUAGCUGCCAUCCCCAUCCCCAUUGGAAGUACAGUGGAACCUCUACUUAGAAACGUCCCUACCUACGAAUGAUCCAACUUACAAACAGCUCUGGCUGCAAAAUUUUACUUCUACUUGCGGCCGGAGCUUCAAGAUACGAACGAAAAAGGCAAGGGAAAAAGGUGGGAAAUUCAAACCGUUGGUGGCAAAGAGGCUGCUUCUUUGUAGCUCUUUCGCGCCAACAGUUAGGAAAAGGGAGGAUCAGCCUCCCGGGCUUCCAGCGCUGCUGCUACCGCUGCCAGGAGGUGAGCCACUGGACCAUCCCAGCUGGGAUCAGCCUCCCAGGCGUCCAACGCCGCCACCGCAGGUUUUCCUAGGUUUCAUCGCAAGUGCCACCUUUCUCCCCCACUGUGCGGCUUCUCCGCUGCCAUGGGAGGCUUUCCUGGGGCUUGCCCCAAUUGCCACCUUUCUCCACCGCCAUCCAUUGCCGGGCCAGGGUUUCUGCACCACUGACGCAGGCUUUCCCGGGCUGGUAGGGCCGGCCUACCAGCCAGGGAAACCCUGGCCCAGAAGCGGGUGGCAGCAGAGAAAGGCGGCGCUUGCAGCAAGUACCGAGAAAGCAUCCCAUGGCAGUGGAGAAACCGCCCAGCGGGGGGAAAAGGCGGCACUUGCGGGUGAACACCAGGAAAGCUGGCAGCGGCAGCUGGAGCCCGGGAGGCCUCCUGGCAGCGGCGGUCGCAGCAGUGGAGGUAAGGUGCUGCAUUUUAAAAACUGUUUGGGGUGGCUUUUGCAGGGUGGGAUUGAGCUGGUGGAGUUAUGUUUGUUUUUUAUUAUUUGUUUGUUUGUUUGUUUGUUUGUUUGUUUUUGCAGCCGUAGGGGCUUGCAGUGUGUUAUUUUUUAUUUGUUUGUUUUGGUAUUUUUUCUUCAGCUGAAACGGAUUACUUGGUUUUCAGUGCAUUCCUAUGGGAAAUGGUGCUUCUACUUACGAAUGUUUCAACUUAUGACCACAGUUCCGGAACGGGUUAAGUUCG
Molecule: long non-coding RNA, 1115 nt
Filed under: Pogona vitticeps (central bearded dragon)
Lineage: Eukaryota; Metazoa; Chordata; Lepidosauria; Squamata; Agamidae
Description: lncRNA (ENSPVIG00000004998.1)
Source: RNAcentral